AAAACAUUUUUUUUUUUGCCUAAAAUCUAGCUGACGAAGAAUUUGUGGCUGAAUAAUUUGUUUCGUUUUUGCUAUUAGAGUCGUAAUCAAUUGAUUGGUUUUGGGAAUAUCCAAAGGAUACAAUACAGUCACGACGAGCUUAGCAGCAUGAAUUUGUGUAUUCAAAGUCCCGUGAAGUGUGAUGGUCGAAGUUCCUUGUUCUCCGCACUGAAGACUUCGAAUUUCAGUGAGGAGAGGCUUACUACAUCAAGGUUCUGGGGGUUUCAUGGUCGAAAUCGGAAGAAGAAUCGUAUGUUUGCAGUGAGAUCUGUUUCUUCAAGUGCGGUAGGUACCGUAGACGAGACGAAGAGAGAUGAAAUUAGUGGAGGAGAGAGUCGUGUGUACGACGCCAUUGUCAUCGGCUCCGGGAUUGGAGGAUUGGUCGCUGCGACUCAGCUUGCUGUUAAAGAAGCUAGGGUUUUAGUUCUCGAGAAAUAUCUGAUUCCUGGUGGGAGCUCUGGUUAUUACGAAAGAGAUGGAUAUACUUUCGAUGUUGGCUCUUCUGUGAUGUUUGGUUUCAGCGAUAAGGGGAAUCUAAACUUGAUAACUCAGGCUUUGAAGGCAGUUGGUCGUAAGAUGGAGGUUAUACCUGAUCCUACCACUGUCCAUUUCCAUCUUCCCAAUAACCUUUCUGUUCAGAUUCAUAGAGAAUACGAUGAUUUCAUCGCUGAACUUACGAGCAAGUUUCCCCACGAGAAGGAAGGGAUCCUUGGAUUCUAUGGCGAUUGCUGGAAGAUCUUCAACUCAUUGAACUCUCUGGAACUAAAGUCACUAGAAGAGCCUCUCUACCUUUUUGGACAGUUCUUUCAGAAGCCGCUUGAAUGCCUGACACUCGCUUAUUACUUGCCCCAAAAUGCUGGGGAUAUAGCUCGGAAGUACAUAAAGGAUCCUCAAUUAUUGUCCUUCAUUGAUGCAGAGUGUUUCAUUGUGAGCACAGUCAAUGCUUUGCAGACGCCGAUGAUCAAUGCAAGUAUGGUUUUAUGUGACAGGCACUAUGGAGGAAUUAACUACCCUGUUGGUGGUGUUGGUGGGAUUGCCAAGUCUUUGGCAGAAGGACUUGUUGAUCAAGGCAGUGAAAUACUCUACAAGGCUAAUGUGAAAAGUAUUAUACUUGAUGAUGGAAAGGCUGUCGGUGUAAGGCUAGCAGAUGGAAGAGAAUUUUUCGCUAAAACGAUAAUUUCAAAUGCUACAAGAUGGGAUACGUUUGGGAAGCUGUUAAAAGAAGAAAAACUUCCAAAAGAAGAAGAAAAUUUCCAGAAAGUCUAUGUCAAGGCUCCAUCAUUUCUUUCAAUCCACAUGGGUGUUAAAGCAGAGGUUCUCCCUCCAGAUACAGAUUGCCAUCAUUUUGUGCUUGAGGACAAUUGGAAGAAUCUGGAGGAACCUUAUGGCAGUAUCUUCCUCAGCAUUCCAACCAUUCUUGAUCCAUCCUUAGCCCCAAAUGGUCGACAUAUACUGCACAUAUUUACAACUUCUUCCAUCGAGGAUUGGGAGGGACUCCCUCCAAAAGAGUAUGAGGCGAAAAAAGAAGAUGUGGCUGCUGGGAUAAUAGAGCGGCUAGAGAAAAAACUGUUUCCAGGGCUCAGUUCAUCGAUAACGUUCAAGGAGGCAGGUGGGCACACCAAGAACACACAGGCGAUUUCUUGCUCGGGAUAAGGGAACAUAUGGGCCAAUGCCAAGAGGAACCCCAAAAGGUCUAUUGGGAAUGCCGUUCAAUACAACUGCUAUAGAUGGUCUAUACUGCGUUGGGGAUAGUUGUUUUCCUGGUCAGGGAGUUAUAGCUGUGGCUUUCUCAGGAGUGAUGUGUGCUCAUCGCGUAGCUGCUGACAUUGGGCUUGAGAAGAAAUCACGGGUACUUGAUGCUGGCCUUCUUCGUUUACUUGGCUGGCUAAGGACACUCGCAUAAUUCUAAGGAUGCAGGCGACAGAGCUAGGGAAGAUCAAUGGAAGUGUUAUGUAGUAGGAAUCAUAUAACACAAGUAAAUUCCUAUGCUGACACAUGUUUUGUCUUUUGAUCUUAUCUUUUAGUAUAUUAUUAAAGUCAAUUAUUCAGAGAGUUAGCUACU
RNA transcript from Eutrema salsugineum, 2101 nucleotides. It is a transcript of the gene named prolycopene isomerase, chloroplastic, with no coding region annotated. Lineage: Eukaryota; Viridiplantae; Streptophyta; Magnoliopsida; Brassicales; Brassicaceae. The transcript is spliced from 13 exons. The record is from RefSeq and is a predicted model, not a curated record.